GACGAACGCUGGCGGCGUGCUUAACACAUGCAAGUCGAACGGCAGCACGGGUGCUUGCACCUGGUGGCGAGUGGCGAACGGGUGAGUAAUACAUCGGAACGUACCUUAUCGUGGGGGAUAACGCAGCGAAAGCUGUGCUAAUACCGCAUACGCCCUGAGGGGGAAAGCGGGGGAUCGAAAGACCUCGCGCGAUUAGAGCGGCCGAUGCCUGAUUAGCUUGUUGGUGGGGUAAAAGCCCACCAAGGCGACGAUCAGUAGCUGGUCUGAGAGGGGGAUCAGCCACACUGGGACUGGGACACGGCCCAGACUCCUACGGGAGGCAGCAGUGGGGAAUUUUGGACAAUGGGGGCAACCCUGAUCCAGCAAUGCCGCGUGAGUGAGGAAGGCCUUCGGGUUGUAAAGCUCUUUUGUCAGGGAAGAAACACCGGCUCUAACACAGUCCGGGAAUGACGGAACCUGAAGAAUAAGCACCGGCUAACUACGUGCCAGCAGCCGCCGUAA
RNAcentral lists this ribosomal RNA (501 nucleotides) under uncultured bacterium. Its description in RNAcentral is "partial 16S ribosomal RNA". It matches the Rfam family "Bacterial small subunit ribosomal RNA", at positions 28 to 523 of the family's 1533-position model. The record is from RNAcentral.